This 1425-nucleotide long non-coding RNA is filed under the name Equus caballus (horse). Its description in RNAcentral is "lncRNA (ENSECAG00000053743.1)". The record is from RNAcentral. Lineage: Eukaryota; Metazoa; Chordata; Mammalia; Perissodactyla; Equidae.
UGGGCGUAAAAAGGCAUUUCGGAUUGCUUAAGGCCACAUUGCUGGGGAGAGGCAUUGCUGAGUUCAGAUCCAGACAGUCAGCCGUGCUCUUGGCCUCCAUGUUGGACUGACAACAACUUGGCAAGUGUUUCUGAGUUCAGACAUUGGUGUCCAUUCUUUCUUCUUCCAUCAAGAUGGGUUCCCAGAGAAGAGCUGCUGAGCUCAGAAGCGAGCGCCUGACAAGAGUUGUGCCGCACGCGGCCACACUGAGUUCCAGAGAGGCUGCUCUUGCGUCUCCCACACAGACGGGUCUGCUGCUCUGGACGGACGCCCACCUCCCUACAGCCUUGUUCUCAUGGAAUAUUACCUCUUCCUUUUUCAUCUUUGCCAAGAGCACAUCAUGUGUCUUAUUUUGCAUUUAUUUGGUCUUUACCGAGAUUGAAAAUAUUUUCAAGUGUUUCCUGGCCAUUUCUGUUUCUUCUGUGAAUUGCUGUUCAUCUAGACUGAAUUUUCUGUGUUUGCUUUUGCUUUCUCUUGCCUGGAAGGAGUAGCUCCUGGCUGAACUGAUGGCUAAGAGUUGAGCCAGGAUGUGGGCAUCCUGGCCUCCAGAGGUUUCUAAGGUGGAAGGAAACGAGCCAGUUGGCCUGAAAAAUCUGGGAGUGCACCAGCCUCCACUCCCUGUGGGAAGAUGGGUGGGGCAGCUUUACACAGAGCUUCACAGGGAGAAUGGACUACCACUUGCCUUGAUAGAGAGGGUUGGACCAAAUGAUUCUGGUGGUUUCUCUGAUCCCCAGAUUCCAUGAAAGAUGGGGAAUUUGGAAGCCAAACUUAGAUAUGGCCUGGCUUCCAGAUCUAAAUUCUGACCUGCUCUGGAAUUAGGGUGGGGUGACUGGCAGAGUCAGAGUGAGGAGAGGCUGGACAGGCGGAGGAGAGGCAAACUCAUUAUGCUCCUGGAGCAAGUGAGGACCACCCCACAUGGGGCCUGGCUCCCCCUCCUAGCACCAGGCAGAACCGUGGCCCAUGUGCUGUUUGCUUUCCUUUCACCUUGCCCUGGAAUUUUUCUGGCCCCAGAAAUAUGGGCCACCAGAGCUACAAACGUCCUCUAAGAUCUUCCAGGGUGAGGAGAAGAGCCAAGCAAAAAAGGAGAAGUAAAAACAAAGAUGAGCACACACCCCUAUGACCACAUUUAUAAAAAGUUAAAUAUAUUUAUGCAGUAUAUCUAAAAAGCAAGUGAAUAAAACUCUCUCUCUCUCUUUUUUUUUUUUUUACAAAAUAUUUCCUUCCCCCAAAUUGUUCUGCUAGAGCUCUGUUCGCUAAAGAGUGGCGAUGAGGGGAUGAGACCUUCCUUAUCCACCCCCCUAUUUUGCAGAAGAACAAACUGAGGCACAGGGCAGGCACACGAUUGCCACACACAGCAAGUGGCGUUUGAUCCUGAAUCUCCUGCCU